This 2539-nucleotide long non-coding RNA is filed under the name Homo sapiens (human). Its description in RNAcentral is "HSALNT0302058". The record is from RNAcentral. Lineage: Eukaryota; Metazoa; Chordata; Mammalia; Primates; Hominidae.
AAAGAAGCAGAGAUGGAGUGCAUCUGCCCCAAGUGGAGGCAGCAGCAGCAGCAGGAGGGAGGUGUCGGGGCAGUGGGGCCGCAGGGCCAGUCCUCAGGUUGGUUACUCAGUUGUCCUCCCUGGUCUGUCCUCAAGGCGUGAUUUGGGCUGGGGUUCUGGCUGCCGUCCAGCCCUCCCUGGUUGCUGUGAGCCUGGCUCUCUAGCCAGCCCUAGAAGUCCGUGAGUUAGUUCUCUGUUGCUUGCAACCAAGAACCCUGACAAGAAAGAAAACUGGCUCAGAGAGGCUGAGUAACCUGCUCAAGAUGACACAGCUUGUGGGUGGCUGAGUUGGCCUUCCAACCCAGAUUCCUGUCAUGUUCCUCAAGCCGACAGGUUCAGCUUGGUUGUGACCUCUGCUAGAAGCCCUCCCUGGCCUCCCUGUGCACUGAGCUGGUGGUUCCUCCUUUGCGCCCCAGUCAGGAAGCCACUCCACCCCAGAAGAAGGUAAUAUGAGUCCUACUACCUUUCUGAAAGGAAGGUGAGUACAGAAAAGCAAGACAGUAACUUUCCCAAGCCAGGGAACCCCUGUCUCCCCAACUUCUGCAUCAUGUAGACCAUUUGUGUCUACAACUUACAGGAGGCAGUGUAGACUAGCAGUUGAGAAUGUGAGUCUAGAAUCAGAAUGCCUGGGUUCAAACCUCAACUCUGUCACUUUCCAGCUAUUUGGCCUUGGACAUAUUACUUAAACAUUUGUGUGUUUUAAAACGUGUACACAAUCCUUUGACUCUCUUUCCAUCAAGAAGUGGAGCCUAUGUCCCCUCCCUUUGAACCUGGGUGGAAAUGUGGGAGUGCCUAGACAAAUAGAAUGUGGCAAAAGUGACACUGUGUGAUUUCCAAGGCUAGGUUAGAAAAGACCCUGCAGCUUCUGAUGAUUCCUUUAGGGACACUCAUGUCGGGAGGCUUCAGCUGCUGUGAAAGAAACUCAGCUACCCUGAGGCUGCCUUGUAGAGGGACUGCAUUUAAAGUGAGAGAUUCCUGAGGAGUUCCAGCCAUCCAGCCCCAAGCAGUGUGAACCUCCUAGUCUAGACCCCAGCAUUUGAGCUGACCUCAGCCCCAGCCACCAAUUGACUGCAAACUCAUGAGACACCCUGAGUGAGAACUGCCUAGCUUAGUCUCUGUCAACCCUCAAAUUUCAGGAACAAAAUAAAUGAUUGUUGUUGUCUUAAGACCACUGUUUGGGGAUGGUUUCUUAUCAUGCAAUAGAUAGCUGAUGCAGACUUUUCUAUAACCUAGAAACGGAAUGCUGCCAUCACAGAACCUAAGUCAUGUGGCUUUAGGACUGGGAGAUGGGUAGAGAUUGUAAGGACUUUGAGGAUAUUGUUGAUGGAAGUCUGAUAGUUCUCAAGGAAGUUGCUGGUGAGGGCUUAAAGGAAAGUGAGAAAUUUUUAUUAGAAGCAGGAGGAAAGGGGACAAACCCUUAUUACGUGGUGGAAGAAAGUUAGUAACAUUGUCACUUGAAGCUAUGUGAGCAAUAGAAAAUGUGCCUAAUGAAGGCUGGGCACGGUGGCUCACACCUCUAACCCCAGCACUUUGGGAGGCCGAGGUGGGCAGAUCACAUGAGGUCAGGAGUUUGAGACCAGCCUGGCCAACAUGGUGAAACCCCAUCUCUACUAAAAAUGCAAAAAUUAGCUGGGCGUGGUGUUGCACGCUUGUAAUCCCAGCUACUUGGGAGGCUGAGGCAGGAGGAUGGCUUGAACCUGGGAAGCGGAGGUUGCAGUGAGCCGAGAUCAUGCCACCGCACUCCAGCCUGGGCAACAGAGCAAGACUCCAUCUAAAAAAAAAGAGAAAUAUCCAUGAGUUUGAACUUAUAUAAAUAAAUGGCUACAUAGAGAAAAGGGGGAGAAGAUACAAAAAUACAGAAUUGCAGAUGAUAUUCACAGAUACUCAAGGAUGAGCAUAGCUCCCUGCUCCUUAAAUGUGGGCUCCACAUAGCAACUUACCUCCAAACAGUAUACACGGAAAGGGGAAGAAAGAAUAACUUCAUAGUGGAGAAACCUGACAAACACUACUUCUGUUAACUGUGAACGCAGUUGACAUCGACAGUGACAGGUCAUGGUGGUGGCAUAUACUCUUGAUAGGAUGUAAUGAAAGUGGCACUUCACCUUUGAGGUCUUGCUCCCUCAAACCCAUAACCUAAAACAUCAGACAAAUCCCAGCUGAGGAACAUUCUACAAAAUACCUGACCAAUACUCCUUGAAAUCAUCAAGAUCAUCAAAAACAAGAAAAGUCUGAGAAACUGUCACAGCCAAGGGAGACCUAAGAAGACAUGAUGGCCAAAUGUAAUGCUGCAUCCUAGAACAGAAAAAGGAUAUUAGGUUAAAAAAAAAAACAACUAAGGAAAUCUGAAUAAAGUAUGAACAUAGUUUAAUAAUAAUGUUAAUCUUGUAGGGCUGAUAUCAAUAGCAGUUUAUUAAUUGUGGCAAAUGUACCGUACUAAAUGUAAGAUGAUGAUAAUAGGGGAAAUUGGGUGUGGAGAAUAUGGGAACUCUCUGUAUUAUCU